GACUCUGGCUCUCUCUUGUUCAACUUGAUUGGAAACUUAGCAUUUCCGCUCCUUCUUAUUGGUGGGCUUUUUCUUCUUUCGAGACGAUCGGGUGGUGGGCUUGGUGGACCCGGAGGCCCUGGUAACCCCCUUGCGUUUGGUCAGUCGAAAGCCAAGUUCCAGAUGGAGCCUAACACUGGCGUCACGUUUGACGAUGUCGCGGGAGUUGACGAAGCGAAGCAAGACUUCAUGGAAGUGGUGGAGUUCUUGAAGAAACCUGAGAGGUUCACUGCAGUCGGUGCUCGUAUUCCUAAAGGUGUUCUUCUCAUUGGUCCU
Molecule: unclassified non-coding RNA, 315 nt
Filed under: Hevea brasiliensis (rubber tree)
Lineage: Eukaryota; Viridiplantae; Streptophyta; Magnoliopsida; Malpighiales; Euphorbiaceae
Source: RNAcentral